Molecule: long non-coding RNA, 1135 nt
Organism: Poecilia latipinna (sailfin molly)
Lineage: Eukaryota; Metazoa; Chordata; Actinopteri; Cyprinodontiformes; Poeciliidae
Exons: 2
Source: RefSeq, a predicted model, not a curated record
UUGUACUUGUAUAGCGCCUUAUCAAGGCUACACAGUGCUUCACACUACAGUCACUCACAGACACUCAGACACUGUUGGCAAGCUGCCCUUGGGCAGUCUGACAGAGGUGAGCUUGCUUCCAGGUCCACCAAGACUCUCUGACCCCCACCACCAGGUAAGUCAGGUGAAGUGUCUUCCCAAAGACAGAACGAUAGAGGCGAGUGAAGCGGGGAUCGAACCAGCAGCCUGCUGACUGUGGGGCAAACUCCCACCAUCGUCACAACCCAAAAUAUGGGUUUUUGUGUAAUUUCAAGUCCUUUCACAUCUAUAUGUGUUGCUUUCUCCUGCCCUAGAGCUUGUGUCUUGGAAUCAUAUGUGCUAGUAUUGUUCUUAAUGCAGAACAAGACUAUGAAUUUUGAGUUUUUCUCAUGUUGAAGAACCUCUGAGGUGGUAGGUAAUUAUCUACCAGGUGAUAGAUAAUUACUAGUCAAAUCAUUCAGAAAACAGAAAAAGCUGUCAGGUUUCAUUUUUUAAUGCUGCAGUGUCAAAGUCCAUACUUAGAAUGAUUAUAGCUGGUGGUUAAUGUUUUUUGGAUUUCACUUUAAGCUGUGGCUUCAAACAUAAACUUUACAAACAUAAACUUUAAUUGUAUAAAUUCAGCCUUAGACGAAGCAAGCAAACAGAGAAAUCUUUAACAGUCACUUUGGUAAAAGGCCACAUAGCAUCGUCCUGCUCCACUGACAACUUGCACAAAAGUAGAAAAACACUGAAUGAACAGGCACCAAUUAGAUACCAAAGUACACAAGAUAUAGCAUUAGUGCAAGAGGAAAAUUUCACUGCAGAGUGACAAAAACACUGUCUUUUUCCUCAGAGUAACAGUACUCAUGGAAAUCAUGGAUGUUAGCUUUAUGGUCUACAUGCACCUUUAGAUUUUCAUAUCCAAACAUCUCUUCUGACAAAGAAGAGAUAUUCCAGAUGUUUGGAUAUGACGUGUUCUGAAUAUUACAUCAAGAUGAAGAGAAAGGAUACCAGUACUGCACAUUGAGCUGCUAGGUAGAAGUUAGAUUACAUUUUUAUGAACACUUGACAUAUGGCACAAUCACAAAAAAAUACUACAAAGCCUGGUACAAUCAAAAUGACCAGAAAGAUCUAAAAA